AGUCGUAACUGCAGAAGACACUUCCUUAGAAGACAGCAAACUGGAAGACUCAGUGCCUUUAACAGAAAUGCCUGAAGCAGUGGAUGUAGAUGAGAGCCAGUUGGAGAAUGUAUGUCUGAGUGAGUAUCCUCAAUACCUUGGAAAUUUGGCUGGGUCCCCAAAAGAUGUUAAACCAGCAGAGCCUAGAAAACUAGGAGUAAGCUCUGAGCAGCAGGAGAAAGGAAAAUCUGGUCCUGAUGAGGAGAUGAUGGAAGAGAAACUCAAAUCUCUAUUUGAGGACAUUCAACUUGAAGAAGGAGUAGAGUCUGAGGAGAUGACAGAAGAAAAAGUACAGGCUAUUCUUAAGCGUGUUCAGCAAGCAGAACUGGAAAUGUCUUCAAUUACAGGUUGGCAGAAUGAGACAUCAAGUGGAAACCUAGAGUCCUGCGCUCAAGCUCGAAGAGUAACUGGUGGGUUACUAGAUCGACUGGAUGACAGCCCUGACCAGUGUAGAGAUUCCAUUACCUCAUAUCUCAAAGGAGAAGCUGGAAAAUUUGAAGCAAAUGGAAGCCAUACAGAAAUCACUCCAGAAGCAAAGACAAAAUCUUACCUUCCAGAAUCCCAAAAUGAUGUAGGAAAACAGAGUACCAAGGGAACUCUGAAACCAAAAAUACAUGGAUCUGGUCAUGUUGAAGAACCAGCAUCACCACUAGCAGCAUAUCAGAAAUCUCUAGAAGAAACCAGCAAGCUUAUAAUAGA
This 738-nucleotide small RNA is filed under the name Pan troglodytes (chimpanzee). Its description in RNAcentral is "retained intron". The record is from RNAcentral. Lineage: Eukaryota; Metazoa; Chordata; Mammalia; Primates; Hominidae.